Molecule: transfer RNA, 64 nt
Filed under: Prioneris thestylis
Lineage: Eukaryota; Metazoa; Arthropoda; Insecta; Lepidoptera; Pieridae
Also listed under: 1 other name
Description: tRNA-Arg
Source: RNAcentral
AAAUAAGAAGCAAUUUCAUGCAUUUAAUUUCGACUUAAAAAGAAGAGUAAAAACUCCUUAUUUA